RNAcentral lists this ribosomal RNA (497 nucleotides) under uncultured bacterium. Its description in RNAcentral is "partial 16S ribosomal RNA". It matches the Rfam family "Bacterial small subunit ribosomal RNA", at positions 28 to 507 of the family's 1533-position model. The record is from RNAcentral.
GAUGAACGCUGGCGGCGUGCCUAAUACAUGCAAGUCGAGCGAACGGACGAGGAGCUUGCUCCUCUGACGUUAGCGGCGGACGGGUGAGUAACACGUGGAUAACCUACCUAUAAGACUGGGAUAACUUCGGGAAACCGUAGCUAAUACCGGAUAAUAUAUUGAACCGCAUGGUUCAAUAGUGAAAGACGGUUUUGCUGUCACUUAUAGAUGGAUCCGCGCUGCAUUAGCUAGUUGGUAAGGUAACGGCUUACCAAGGCAACGAUGCAUAGCCGACCUGAGAGGGUGAUCGGCCACACUGGAACUGAGACACGGUCCAGACUCCUACGGGAGGCAGCAGUAGGGAAUCUUCCGCAAUGGGCGAAAGCCUGACGGAGCAACGCCGCGUGAGUGAUGAAGGUCUUCGGAUCGUAAAACUCUGUUAUUAGGGAAGAACAUAUGUGUAAGUAACUGUGCACAUCUUGACGGUACCUAAUCAGAAAGCCACGGCUAACUACGUG